RNAcentral lists this ribosomal RNA (226 nucleotides) under uncultured fungus. Its description in RNAcentral is "partial 28S ribosomal RNA". It matches the Rfam family "Eukaryotic large subunit ribosomal RNA", at positions 1 to 221 of the family's 3401-position model. Lineage: Eukaryota; Fungi. The record is from RNAcentral.
UGACCUCAAAUCAGGUAGGACUACCCGCUGAACUUAAGCAUAUCAAUAAGCGGAGGAAAAGAAACUAACAAGGAUUCCCCUAGUAACUGCGAGUGAAGCGGGAAAAGCUCAAAUUUAAAAUCUCGACGGUCUAGCGGCCGUCCGAGUUGUAAUCUGGAGAAGCGUCUAUCCGCGUCGGACCGUGUCCAAGUCUUCUGGAAGGGAGCGUCAUAGAGGGUGAGAAUCC